This 269-nucleotide ribosomal RNA is filed under the name uncultured prokaryote. Its description in RNAcentral is "partial 16S ribosomal RNA". It matches the Rfam family "Bacterial small subunit ribosomal RNA", at positions 524 to 792 of the family's 1533-position model. The record is from RNAcentral.
UACGUAGGUGGCGAGCGUUGCCCGGAAUUACUGGGUGUAAAGGGAGCGUAGGCGGGUCGGCAAGUCAGUGGUGAAAUACAUGGGCUUAACCCAUGAAUUGCCAUUGAAACUGCCGGUCUUGAGUGGAUCAGAGGCAAGCGGAAUUCCGAGUGUAGCGGUGAAAUGCGUAGAUAUUCGGAGGAACACCAGUGGCGAAGGCGGCUUGCUGGGGUCUAACUGACGCUGAGGCUCGAAAGCGUGGGGAGCAAACAGGAUUAGAUACCCUGGUA